GUCUACGGCCAUACCACCCUGAGCACGCUUGAUCUCGUCUGUUCUCAGAAGCUAAGCAGGCUCGGGCCUGGUUAGUACUUGGAUGGGAGAAGAUUCCUUAUAAAGAAGAUGAAAUUGUAGCUA
Molecule: ribosomal RNA, 123 nt
Organism: Ochotona princeps (American pika)
Lineage: Eukaryota; Metazoa; Chordata; Mammalia; Lagomorpha; Ochotonidae
Source: Ensembl